GGGUUGUGAGGUUAAGCGACUAAGCGUACACGGUGGAUGCCCUGGCAGUCAGAGGCGAUGAAGGGCGUGCUAAUCUGCGAUAAGCGCCGGUAAGGUGAUAUGAACCGUUAUAACCGGCGAUACCCGAAUGGGGAAACCCAGUGUGAUUCGUCACACUAUCAUUAACUGAAUCCAUAGGUUAAUGAGGCGAACCGGGGGAACUGAAACAUCUAAGUACCCCGAGGAAAAGAAAUCAACCGAGAUUCCCCCAGUAGCGGCGAGCGAACGGGGAGGAGCCCAGAGCCUGAAUCAGCAUGUGUGUUAGUGGAAGCGUCUGGAAAGGCGCGCGAUACAGGGUGACAGCCCCGUACACAAAAGCGCAUGUGCUGUGAGCUCGAUGAGUAGGGCGGGACACGUGGUAUCCUGUCUGAAUAUGGGGGGACCAUCCUCCAAGGCUAAAUACUCCUGACUGACCGAUAGUGAACCAGUACCGUGAGGGAAAGGCGAAAAGAACCCCGGCGAGGGGAGUGAAAAAGAACCUGAAACCGUGUACGUACAAGCAGUGGGAGCCCCACCACUAAGCCAGUGGUGAACUCCACAUCCGCAUCCUUUGCUGAGGAUACGGUUAACGGAGCGAAAGCGACGUUCAACCGCAAAACAAGCAGAGGGGGCUUAGUGGUGGGGUGACUGCGUACCUUUUGUAUAAUGGGUCAGCGACUUAUAUUCUGUAGCAAGGUUAACCGAAUAGGGGAGCCGGAGGGAAACCGAGUCUUAAUUGGGCGUUAAGUUGCAGGGUAUAGACCCGAAACCCGGUGAUCUAGCCAUGGGCAGGUUGAAGGUUGGGUAACACUAACUGGAGGACCGAACCGACUAAUGUUGAAAAAUUAGCGGAUGACCUGUGGCUGGGGGUGAAAGGCCAAUCAAACCGGGAGAUAGCUGGUUCUCCCCGAAAGCUAUUUAGGUAGCGCCUCGUGAAUUCAUCUCCGGGGGUAGAGCACUGUUUCGGCUAGGGGGCCAUCCCGGCUUACCAACCCGAUGCAAACUGCGAAUACCGGAGAAUGUUAUCACGGGAGACACACGGCGGGUGCUAACGUCCGUCGUGAAGAGGGAAACAACCCAGACCGCCAGCUAAGGUCCCAAAGUCAUGGUUAAGUGGGAAACGAUGUGGGAAGGCCCAGACAGCCAGGAUGUUGGCUUAGAAGCAGCCAUCAUUUAAAGAAAGCGUAAUAGCUCACUGGUCGAGUCGGCCUGCGCGGAAGAUGUAACGGGGCUAAACCAUGCACCGAAGCUGCGGCAGCGANUGCUGGAGGUAUCAGAAGUGCGAAUGCUGACAUAAGUAACGAUAAAGCGGGUGAAAAGCCCGCUCGCCGGAAGACCAAGGGUUCCUGUCCAACGUUAAUCGGGGCAGGGUGAGUCGACCCCUAAGGCGAGGCCGAAAGGCGUAGUCGAUGGGAAACGGGUUAAUAUUCCCGUACUUGGUGUUACUGCGAAGGGGGGACGGAGAAGGCUAUGUUGGCCGGGCGACGGUUGUCCCGGUUUAAGCGUGUAGGUGUGUGUUCCAGGUAAAUCCGGUUCACUUUAACACUGAGGCGUGACGACGAGGCACUACGGUGCUGAAGCAACAAAUGCCCUGCUUCCAGGAAAAGCCUCUAAGCAUCAGGUAACACGAAAUCGUACCCCAAACCGACACAGGUGGUCAGGUAGAGAAUACCAAGGCGCUUGAGAGAACUCGGGUGAAGGAACUAGGCAAAAUGGUGCCGUAACUUCGGGAGAAGGCACGCUGACACGUAGGUGAAGUGAUUUACUCAUGGAGCUGAAGUCAGUCGAAGAUACCAGCUGGCUGCAACUGUUUAUUAAAAACACAGCACUGUGCAAACACGAAAGUGGACGUAUACGGUGUGACGCCUGCCCGGUGCCGGAAGGUUAAUUGAUGGGGUCAGCGUAAGCGAAGCUCCUGAUCGAAGCCCCGGUAAACGGCGGCCGUAACUAUAACGGUCCUAAGGUAGCGAAAUUCCUUGUCGGGUAAGUUCCGACCUGCACGAAUGGCGUAAUGAUGGCCAGGCUGUCUCCACCCGAGACUCAGUGAAAUUGAACUCGCUGUGAAGAUGCAGUGUACCCGCGGCAAGACGGAAAGACCCCGUGAACCUUUACUAUAGCUUGACACUGAACAUUGAGCCUUGAUGUGUAGGAUAGGUGGGAGGCUUUGAAGUGUGGACGCCAGUCUGCAUGGAGCCGACCUUGAAAUACCACCCUUUAAUGUUUGAUGUUCUAACGUGGACCCGUAAUCCGGGUUGCGGACAGUGUCUGGUGGGUAGUUUGACUGGGGCGGUCUCCUCCUAAAGAGUAACGGAGGAGCACGAAGGUUGGCUAAUCCUGGUCGGACAUCAGGAGGUUAGUGCAAUGGCAUAAGCCAGCUUGACUGCGAGCGUGACGGCGCGAGCAGGUGCGAAAGCAGGUCAUAGUGAUCCGGUGGUUCUGAAUGGAAGGGCCAUCGCUCAACGGAUAAAAGGUACUCCGGGGAUAACAGGCUGAUACCGCCCAAGAGUUCAUAUCGACGGCGGUGUUUGGCACCUCGAUGUCGGCUCAUCACAUCCUGGGGCUGAAGUAGGUCCCAAGGGUAUGGCUGUUCGCCAUUUAAAGUGGUACGCGAGCUGGGUUUAGAACGUCGUGAGACAGUUCGGUCCCUAUCUGCCGUGGGCGCUGGAGAACUGAGGGGGGCUGCUCCUAGUACGAGAGGACCGGAGUGGACGCAUCACUGGUGUUCGGGUUGUCAUGCCAAUGGCACUGCCCGGUAGCUAAAUGCGGAAGAGAUAAGUGCUGAAAGCAUCUAAGCACGAAACUUGCCCCGAGAUGAGUUCUCCCUGAGACUUAGAGUCUCCUGAAGGAACGUUGAAGACGACGACGUUGAUAGGCCGGGUGUGUAAGCGCAGCGAUGCGUUGAGCUAACCGGUACUAAUGAACCGUGAGGCUUAACCUUACAACGCCGAAG
This 2968-nucleotide ribosomal RNA is filed under the name Salmonella enterica subsp. enterica serovar Typhimurium. Its description in RNAcentral is "23S ribosomal RNA". It matches the Rfam family "Bacterial large subunit ribosomal RNA". The record is from RNAcentral. Lineage: Bacteria; Pseudomonadati; Pseudomonadota; Gammaproteobacteria; Enterobacterales; Enterobacteriaceae.